GACGAACGCUGGCGGCGUGCUUAACACAUGCAAGUCGAACGGAAAGGCCCUGCUUUUGUGGGGUGCUCGAGUGGCGAACGGGUGAGUAACACGUGAGUAACCUGCCCUUGACUUUGGGAUAACUUCAGGAAACUGGGGCUAAUACCGGAUAGGAGCUCCUGCUGCAUGGUGGGGGUUGGAAAGUUUCGGCGGUUGGGGAUGGACUCGCGGCUUAUCAGCUUGUUGGUGGGGUAGUGGCUUACCAAGGCUUUGACGGGUAGCCGGCCUGAGAGGGUGACCGGCCACAUUGGGACUGAGAUACGGCCCAGACUCCUACGGGAGGCAGCAGUGGGGAAUAUGGCACAAUGGGCGGAAGCCUGAUGCAGCGACGCCGCGUGCGGGAUGACGGCCUUCGGGUUGUAAACCGCUUUCGCCUGUGACGAAGCGUGAGUGACGGUAAUGGGUAAAGAAGCACCGGCUAACUACGUG
RNAcentral lists this ribosomal RNA (468 nucleotides) under uncultured bacterium. RNAcentral describes it as "partial 16S ribosomal RNA". It matches the Rfam family "Bacterial small subunit ribosomal RNA", at positions 28 to 507 of the family's 1533-position model. The record is from RNAcentral.